This 270-nucleotide long non-coding RNA is filed under the name Brassica napus (rape). RNAcentral describes it as "long non-coding RNA (BNAP_LNC009845)". The record is from RNAcentral. Lineage: Eukaryota; Viridiplantae; Streptophyta; Magnoliopsida; Brassicales; Brassicaceae.
UACAUUUUAAAUCUUAAAACAUCCUACUUAACAAAUCAUAUUAGAUUCAUUAGGUUCCCUAACUCCUUGUGGAUUUGAUCCCUAAGUACUGCAAUUGAACUUCUUAUUUGAGAGAGUAAAUUCACUCUGAGUGAUAUCACACAUCAACUCCGAAAAACAACAUUCCAUAGUUUAGAACACCAAAAAUUUCAAACAACAAAGUUUCAAAACAUAACAUAGAGCAAAACAUCUUGUGACAGCAUGACCAAAAGAGCAUUUGGCAAUCUCUUA